Molecule: transfer RNA, 80 nt
Filed under: Schistocephalus solidus
Lineage: Eukaryota; Metazoa; Platyhelminthes; Cestoda; Diphyllobothriidea; Diphyllobothriidae
Rfam family: tRNA
About the family: Transfer RNA (tRNA) molecules are approximately 80 nucleotides in length. Their secondary structure includes four short double-helical elements and three loops (D, anti-codon, and T loops).
Source: Rfam by way of RNAcentral
GGCCCCGUAGCUCAGUUGACUAGAGCGUUCGUACUAAAGCCUUCCCCAUGCUGGCGUGGGUUUGAAUCCCACCGAGGCCA